AGAGUUUGAUCCUGGCUCAGGAUGAACGCUAGCUACAGGCUUAACACAUGCAAGUCGAGGGGCAGCAUGACGAUAGCUUGCUAUUGUUGAUGGCGACCGGCGCACGGGUGAGUAACGCGUAUCCAACCUUCCCGUUGCUAGGGGAUAACCUUGCGAAAGUAAGACUAAUACCCUAUGAUGUUCUUCGCAGGCAUCUAAAGAGAACGAAAGAUUUAUCGGCAACGGAUGGGGAUGCGUCUGAUUAGGUUGUUGGCGGGGUAACGGCCCACCAAGCCUACGAUCAGUAGGGGUUCUGAGAGGAAGGUCCCCCACAUUGGAACUGAGACACGGUCCAAACUCCUACGGGAGGCAGCAGUGAGGAAUAUUGGUCAAUGGACGGAAGUCUGAACCAGCCAAGUAGCGUGCAGGAUGACGGCCCUAUGGGUUGUAAACUGCUUUUAUGUGGGAAUAAAGUGAGGGACGUGUCCCUUUUUGUAGGUACCACAUGAAUAAGGACCGGCUAAUUCCGUGCCAGCAGCCGCGGUAAUACGGAAGGUCCGGGCGUUAUCCGGAUUUAUUGGGUUUAAAGGGAGCGUAGGCCGUCUUUUAAGCGUGUUGUGAAAUACUGUCGCUCAACGACAGAGGUGCAGCGCGAACUGGGAGACUUGAGUGCGCGGAAUGCAGGCGGAAUUCGUCGUGUAGCGGUGAAAUGCUUAGAUAUGACGAAGAACUCCGAUUGCGAAGGCAGCUUGCAGUAGCGUAACUGACGCUGAAGCUCGAAAGUGCGGGUAUCGAACAGGAUUAGAUACCCUGGUAGUCCGCACGGUAAACGAUGGAUGCUCGCUGUGUGCCCCUGGGUACGCGGCCAAGCGAAAGCGUUAAGCAUCCCACCUGGGGAGUACGCCGGCAACGGUGAAACUCAAAGGAAUUGACGGGGGCCCGCACAAGCGGAGGAACAUGUGGUUUAAUUCGAUGAUACGCGAAGAACCUUACCAAGUCUUGACAUCCGUUGACCGCUGUAGAAAUACAGUUUUCCUUCGGGACAGCGAGACAGGUGGUGCAUGGUUGUCGUCAGCUCGUGUCGUGAGAUGUUGGGUUAAGUCCCGCAACGAGCGCAACCCUUAUGGUCAGUUACUACGCAAGAGGACUCUGGCCAGACUGCCGUUGACAAAACGGAGGAAGGUGGGGAUGACGUCAAAUCAUCAUGCCCUUUAUGACUUGGGCUACACACGUACUACAAUGGCGUUAAACAAAGAGAAGCAAGACCGCGAGGUGGAGCAAAACCCAGAAACAACGUCCCAGUUCGGACUGCAGGCUGCAACUCGCCUGCACGAAGUCGGAAUUGCUAGUAAUCGUGGAUCAGCAUGCCACGGUGAAUACGUUCCCGGGCCUUGUACACACCGCCCGUCACACCAUGAGAGCCGGGGGGACCCGAAGUCGGUAGUCUAACCGCAAGGAGGACGCCGCCGAAGGU
This 1453-nucleotide ribosomal RNA is filed under the name metagenome. RNAcentral describes it as "bacterial SSU rRNA". It matches the Rfam family "Bacterial small subunit ribosomal RNA". The record is from RNAcentral.